Molecule: long non-coding RNA, 921 nt
Filed under: Salvia miltiorrhiza (redroot sage)
Lineage: Eukaryota; Viridiplantae; Streptophyta; Magnoliopsida; Lamiales; Lamiaceae
Description: long non-coding RNA (SMIL_LNC005760)
Source: RNAcentral
AAACGAUGGAAAAUGGAAUCCAGAUUAAAACGAUUUAAAGUAUAGUUAGGCAUAUGAUUAUAUACACCAAGUGAAUUUAUUUCAGCGGAAGUAAAACAGAGUGUUCUUCAAUAUUACAGCAACAACCUUUCCUCAGCCUCGCACGUCACCACCAGCUGCUCAAUCUGCAAAAGGUUUUAAAAAAAUUGCAGGGCUGAGUACUAGUGUACUCAGUGGGUUGAGCCAUUUAAAAAUCAUUUACUGAAAAAGAUAAUUCAUGCCUUAAACAGUAUAACACAGAAUGUUUUUAAAGACGAGUCAUUCCAUGCAUACUAAAAUAAUCUGAGCUCAUAUUUUCCUGGCCAUCUAUUGGGCAUGCUAUCUACAACUGGUUGUCACCGAUCUCUCGAGACAACAGGUUCUGGUGUACGUACACAAUUCUGGUUAGCAGAGCUAACAAUGUUCUGGUUGACGGAGCCAACAAUGUUCUGGUAGAAGCAAUAACCAAUAGAGAGCAAAAACAUUUUAGGCAUGAACCAUCAACUUUAACUUUACAUAAAACCGAGCUUAUUAGCUCAAACAUACAUUUCGUAAAUAAAGCCUCACUUGAUUUGGAGAAAAUCCAAACAAUAUAACUCAGCUGACCAAGAGCCUAAAUAUCCUCUUCUGUAGGACCUACAAGAUAAGUUCUCAACUUAAACUCAUAGUCCUAAAAUCAAGUUUAACCUUCAUGACUUAUCAUCAUUUCUAACUAGAUUCGCAACACCCGGGUUUUCAAAAAAGUUCAACAUAAAACUUGAAAAUCAUUUUUCUUGGCUAAGGGUUUUAAUAAUACCCUUGCUCGGCUUUUACUUAAAAACUCAAUUCACAAAUAAAUUCAUGGCCCGCUUAGUAAUUUAAUAAAAGGCCCUCUUCAUGCAAAAAUGUAGCCCAAAAUAUAAA